AGGCUCAAUAUGUGUUUUCAAGGGGCACAGGCUUUUAUACAAUUAAGGUCCUAUCUGAAACCAACAACAUGAAGUAAAAGCAAUAGCAAUCUAAAGAUAAACUAGCUUAUAGGGAAAGGCUGAAAAAUUAUUUAAAGGAAAGAUACGAUUCAGAUCUGAUUCAGUGGAAGAGAGUAGAUGUUAGAGUGCGGAGCGCAAAACCGGAGCCCGACGACUUGUGGAAGAUGUUGCUGGAAAACGGUCGACUGCGAGUAUCUUUGUGGAAGCCCAACUCGCUACAGGGUCUGGAUCCAAGUGUAAGGGCCUGAAAGCCGGGCCCGCGAGGCAAUGGGCCAAGGGAUCAAUUGGGCUCGCAUGACAACGGGCCAAACGUUGGGGUCGGCCCGCUCGCCCGAAAACAAGAAAUAAAGAAGGGACCCGAAGCUUCUGGAAUGGCUUCGGAUCCCUCUGAGUAGUGGGGAAAAGAGCGGAGGGUAGAGAUGGGCAUC
RNAcentral lists this long non-coding RNA (488 nucleotides) under Phoenix dactylifera (date palm). RNAcentral's name for it is "long non-coding RNA (PDAC_LNC016546)". The record is from RNAcentral. Lineage: Eukaryota; Viridiplantae; Streptophyta; Magnoliopsida; Arecales; Arecaceae.